RNAcentral lists this ribosomal RNA (468 nucleotides) under uncultured bacterium. RNAcentral's name for it is "partial 16S ribosomal RNA". It matches the Rfam family "Bacterial small subunit ribosomal RNA", at positions 28 to 507 of the family's 1533-position model. The record is from RNAcentral.
GACGAACGCUGGCGGCGUGCUUAACACAUGCAAGUCGAACGGAAAGGCCCUGCUUUUGUGGGGUGCUCGAGUGGCGAACGGGUGAGUAACACGUGAGUAACCUGCCCUUGACCUUGGGAUAACUUCAGGAAACUGGGGCUAAUACCGGAUAGGAGCUCCUGCUGCAUGGUGGGGGUUGGAAAGUUUCGGCGGUUGGGGAUGGACUCGCGGCUUAUCAGCUUGUUGGUGGGGCAGUGGCUUACCAAGGCUUUGACGGGUAGCCGGCCUGAGAGGGUGACCGGCCACAUUGGGACUGAGAUACGGCCCAGACUCCUACGGGAGGCAGCAGUGGGGAAUAUUGCACAAUGGGCGGAAGCCUGAUGCAGCAACGCCGCGUGCGGGAUGACGGCCUUCGGGUUGUAAACCGCUUUCGCCUGUGACGAAGCGUGAGUGACGGUAAUGGGUAAAGAAGCACCGGCUAACUACGUG